UUUGUAAGCACACUUGCAGAAGUUAAACUGUCAGACACACUAACAGGUAACAGGUAAACAGUCAGUGAGGGCUAAACUUGGCCCAGGCAUGAGGUGUCCCCCUGGGGGGGUCUCACUGAACCUGCAGGCAGAGGGCAGGGCUUCAGCACAGCUCAGAGCUGGAGGAACUGGCUGCAGGGCAGAGCCAGUCUUUUAAUAAUUGCCAGUAUAAAGCUGCAUUGCUAAAUGGGCUCUGAAUGCUGCUUGUACCGUGCUGCAUUUGGAAGAGCUGUGGAGUGGAGCUGGGCUCCCAGGGGCUGCUCAGAGGCUGCUCAUGAUACUGGGGCAUUACAAGUGCAUCUGUUUUGUCCCAGAUAUGCUGAAAUGUUAGAGCAUGCAAUAGUAACACCCUGGGGAAAGGAAUCGUGUAAAGGAAAGCAGUGGAGAGAAUUAAGGUUUUGGCAGUAUUUCAGUGAGAGGACGUAAAGGAGCCAGUGCUCAGUUAAGGAUGCAAGGCUUCAGGAAAACCCAUUUCUCUUUACUGCUAUCUGAAAACUGAUGUAGUUCUGUUACAACUGAAGACUGAGCUGGGACCCAGCUGCAACUAUUAAUUUCCAAGUAAAUUUCACAGACGUUUGGACAGUGUUUUUCUGUGGCUGAUGCAGUGUUUCUGCUUUAGGCAAUCUCAUUCUUCUUGAAAAUGGUGUUAAAUAAUACCUGUGUCAAAAAUCACUUCUGGUGACACCAUGCAAAACAGACUGAGAUAUAUUCUGAGAUAAUGGCUAUUAAUCACUGAUCAAAUAUGAUACCUAAACUCCUAUGUGUUUGUGAAAUUAAGCAAUCAGUAAUACUUACAUUUGUUUUUCCAUACUUCAAAAGUAGAUCCAGUGCCUGUGUCUCUAGCCAGAAUCUCUUCCAGGAAAUUGUUUCAGUCAGAGAGCAGCUUUAUGAAGGCUGAAUUUGAGUUCCAAACUUGCAGCAUUUCUCCCAACAUUUAACUGUCAUAUACUAGUUAAAUAAAAUUUGAUAUUUGUUGUA
This is a long non-coding RNA of Pseudopipra pipra, 1017 nucleotides long. RefSeq lists it as uncharacterized. The transcript is spliced from 3 exons. NCBI's taxonomy places the organism in Eukaryota, Metazoa, Chordata, Aves, Passeriformes, Pipridae. The record is from RefSeq and is a predicted model, not a curated record.